RNAcentral lists this ribosomal RNA (301 nucleotides) under uncultured Bacteroidota bacterium. RNAcentral's name for it is "bacterial SSU rRNA". It matches the Rfam family "Bacterial small subunit ribosomal RNA", at positions 509 to 809 of the family's 1533-position model. The record is from RNAcentral. Lineage: Bacteria; Pseudomonadati; Bacteroidota.
CAGCAGCCGCGGUAAUACGGAGGGUGCAAGCGUUAUCCGGAUUCACUGGGUUUAAAGGGUGCGUAGGUGGGCAGGUAAGUCAGUGGUGAAAUCUCCGGGCUUAACCCGGAAACUGCCGUUGAUACUAUUUGUCUUGAAUAUUGUGGAGGUAAGCGGAAUAUGUCAUGUAGCGGUGAAAUGCUUAGAUAUGACAUAGAACACCAAUUGCGAAGGCAGCUUACUACACAACGAUUGACGCUGAGGCACGAAAGCGUGGGGAUCAAACAGGAUUAGAUACCCUGGUAGUCCACGCCCUAAACGA